AUACCUUUCUUGGCUUUUUGGCUAAGAUCAAGUGUAGUAUCUGUUCUUAUCAGAUAUAUGGGUCAUGUGUCCACGGAUAUUAAAUUAAUAUUUUAUGGAGGAGGGCCCACCAUAGUAGCUCGCUACUGGGUCCCUCGCGUCGAAUCGGGAUCCUCUGAUUCACCACCGUGU
RNAcentral lists this small nuclear RNA (171 nucleotides) under Oryza meridionalis. RNAcentral describes it as "snRNA U2". It matches the Rfam family "U2 spliceosomal RNA". Rfam says of the family: U2 is a small nuclear RNA (snRNA) component of the spliceosome (involved in pre-mRNA splicing). Complementary binding between U2 snRNA (in an area lying towards the 5' end but 3' to hairpin I) and the branchpoint sequence (BPS) of the intron results the bulging out of an unpaired adenosine, on the BPS, which initiates a nucleophilic attack at the intronic 5' splice site, thus starting the first of two transesterification reactions that mediate splicing. Lineage: Eukaryota; Viridiplantae; Streptophyta; Magnoliopsida; Poales; Poaceae. The record is from Rfam by way of RNAcentral.